AUUGAACGCUGGCGGCAGGCCUAACACAUGCAAGUCGAGCGGUAGCACAGAGAGCUUGCUCUCGGGUGACGAGCGGCGGACGGGUGAGUAAUGUCUGGGAAACUGCCUGAUGGAGGGGGAUAACUACUGGAAACGGUAGCUAAUACCGCAUAACGUCGCAAGACCAAAGUGGGGGACCUUCGGGCCUCAUGCCAUCAGAUGUGCCCAGAUGGGAUUAGCUAGUAGGUGGGGUAACGGCUCACCUAGGCGACGAUCCCUAGCUGGUCUGAGAGGAUGACCAGCCACACUGGAACGGAGACACGGUCCAGACUCCUACGGGAGGCAGCAGUGGGGAAUAUUGCACAAUGGGCGCAAGCCUGAUGCAGCCAUGCCGCGUGUGUGAAGAAGGCCUUCGGGUUGUAAAGCACUUUCAGCGGGGAGGAAGGCGUUAAGGUUAAUAACCUUGGCGAUUGACGUUACCCGCAGAAGAAGCACCGGCUAACUCUGUGCCAGCAGCCGCGGUAA
This 504-nucleotide ribosomal RNA is filed under the name uncultured bacterium. RNAcentral describes it as "partial 16S ribosomal RNA". It matches the Rfam family "Bacterial small subunit ribosomal RNA", at positions 29 to 523 of the family's 1533-position model. The record is from RNAcentral.